UUACUGAUAGGUUAUUUAAACUGGCAAAUUGUGGUUUUGUUGAUUACUGUUUUGUAUCAGUAAA
This 64-nucleotide transfer RNA is filed under the name Diphyllobothrium balaenopterae (whale tapeworm). RNAcentral's name for it is "tRNA-His". The record is from RNAcentral. Lineage: Eukaryota; Metazoa; Platyhelminthes; Cestoda; Diphyllobothriidea; Diphyllobothriidae.